Oreochromis aureus is the source of this 751-nucleotide long non-coding RNA. RefSeq lists it as uncharacterized. The record is from RefSeq and is a predicted model, not a curated record. NCBI's taxonomy places the organism in Eukaryota, Metazoa, Chordata, Actinopteri, Cichliformes, Cichlidae. The transcript has 4 exons.
AAAUGAUUGAUGGUGAUUGAUGUGGCCGGGAUAAAAGAACACGCGCGCACGCACACACACUAAACAGCCCUUCCCCCAUCUCUUCACCAUCCAGGCCAAUCACCAUUAAUCGGCUAAUUGCUUUGCACUUCAGCUCACUGAGUUUGAGGAUUGAAUCACUAUUCAAUUAGAAAAUAGAACUGCUUCAAUUCUCCCAAGGCUCCCACUUCUUUCUGUUUGUCUCUGUCCCCACUCGGUAGCCAUGGUGAUUCUGACAUGAAUGGGUCAUGAGUGUGAUCAAUGAGAUUAUUCCUCCUCCUCUGACAUGUGGAGGUGCGUCACUGGGCAGGAGGGGAAAUACAAUUUUACGGCUGAAGUGCGGAUGCUGUUCAGACAAAACCUUUCAGAAAGCUUUCUCUGCAUUGUUUAUAUAACAAGCAGCUGAUUGUGGAACACAAGUGUCAGCACCACUGUUGAAUCACAGAGGUUUCCCCUGCCCAUCCUUCCUCGGCCUUGUAAAAAUAAACAAAGAAAGAGGUCAGAUAUCUCCCGUGCCUGCCCUGCAGCUCCUGCCCUCCUGAUCCUGGAAGAGAAAGGAAAAGUCAGACAUCUUGUUUUUUCUGCUCUGUCAUGCUCUCUGACACUCACCUGGCAAAGCUCCCCCCUCUGGAACCUCAACUCGCCACUUCCUCUAAUGGACUGCGCUCCUGUGACUCUCACUCCCUGAGCCACCCUGACUACAGGGAUUCCUGCAUUCAAUAAAGUUUUGCGC